CAGAGGAAGAAAUUAUAAAGAAGCCAUUAGAGUGAAGCAAAACAAAGGAGGGAUUGUAGUGCGACUGAGUGAGUCCACUGACUGAGAGGAGGAGAAACCUUUUCCUAGCUGAUCUGCCAGCACACUGGAGGUGCUGAGUGCAAGUGAAGAGCUUGUGGCUCGGAGCGAAUGAUCAAAAAGAAGCCCCGGCUUUCUGAGAAAAUUAUACAUGGCUGUGUGCAUGCCCCCUGCUGAGACUCACUCUCGCCUCGAGCUCUUUCUCCCCCCGCUGUCUGCAGAAGAGGCUGUUAGUGCUGUGAUGUAUGAGGGCAGCUGACGCCCACCUGCUUCCCAGCAGUCAGUCCGGAGGGUGUUUCUGAGCUCCAGCAUCAGCUAUUGGCUAUUCAUUCAGCUCUAUGGAUGAAUCAAUACCAACGGUCACACCUGUCGCAGCUCCUGCUAAACUCUGACCACAGACACAGCAAUAAACUAUUAGUAAAAAUGACUAAUGAAGACAUAAUUAUGUUUCUUUAGCACGGCCAAUUGUCUCAUGAUUGGUUACCCUUUUACAUUGGCAUGAUAUCCCUCUAAAGCUCGAUUAAGUUGUAUUGCAUGGAGGAAGGACAGCAGGCUUGUUAGGAAUGAUUUACAGCCUCACUAAGAGCUUUUAUCGUGGUUAAUUUGAAGCAGGAAAAAUUCAUAACUGGAGGAAAUUGGCUUAAUAAUUGAGAGGCACUAACAAGGGAUUCUCCAAUAAUUGCUCCACUGUCUUCAGCUCAGUUACUGAGCAUCAGUCACCGGUAGAAUGAUGGCUGGCGACAAACUUCUCAUUGGGAAUAACUGAUGAGGAGUCAGACAGCUUUAAGCAUGAGGAAAAUAAGUUUGCAUUUCAUGUUUUAUCUGAAAAGGCACCUGGGUCAAAAAUAGUACGUUCAGCAUGCAGGGAACAAAAAUCCGAACACAGAUUUGGAUGUUUUGGGAGUGAUUCAGAACUUUUUUCUGUGCUGGCAAACUAGCUAACCUCUCAAAUUCAACUGUCCCUUUUAUUUUGAAAUAUUGUGAUAGUGAAUAUAUUUGAAUAUAUCUGGACUUACUGUUUUUUUGGAGGGUGUUUGUUUUUUGUGUUUGUUGAACUUUUCAAUUCUUGUUUUGCUUUCAGUUUCUAUUGUGACUUUUAUUUUUGCCGAUGUUAUCACUGAAUCUUUGAUUCCUGUUUUUUGUCACGUUUUUCCUCACCUGUUCCUUACUAUCUUCCAUUCCUUAUAUCCAAUUCAUAUUAACGGUUACAUUUCCUGUGCAUCUUGUUAUAUGUUAAUAUUUAUGUCUGUAUUAGUUUCCAGUUGUAGUUUCUUCCUGUUUUGGUUUUGUAACAACUUUCUUUUCAUCCCCCAUCUCUCCUAUCCCCAUUUAUCUACAUUUAUUGUGUAUAGAUAGUCCUGCACCUGUCUUGAUAGCUUUGUAUCCAAUGUUUCUUUGCUGUUCCUUGUGUGUAACCUACUGUGAGCUUUAGUUCACCUUCUGAUUUGGUUUUUUUUUUUUGUUUGUUUUGUUUUGUUUUGUUUUUAACUUGAGUUUGUUUCCUUAAGUGUUAAUCUAUUGGUUUUAGUCCUGUGUUUGUCCCUGUCUGUUCCUCCCUCUCUCUUAUUUCAAUAUUAACAGCUGGUGGUUUUCCCAUGUUCCCAGAUUUGAUGUUUAGUUAUGAGUUAGCAUUUAUAUCUACAUUAGUUACAGUUACAUUAGUACUUUUAUUUAUUUCUUAUUUUGUUUUGCACCAUGUUUCCUGUCAUAUCCUCCACCCCUCCUAUUCCAAAUCCCCUUUUAGCCCUAAGUGUAUAACUAGUCCAGUCUUUUGCCUAUAUAACCUCGUCCCUUAUAUUCCUUCAUUGUUUCUCAGUGAUCUUCAGUUCUCCUUCUGAUUUUUGGACUUAAGUGAGUUUUUGGAGUUGCCAGCUAUUUAUUAAAGCUUAUUUUCUAUUAAAUCUUUUUGCUAUAACUCCACACAUCACACAUCAUUGUCUCACCAUCUAAGCUUAUAAAAAUGGAUCAGUGAGAAAUUGUUCUCGACUUCAUCCAAUAGCAGAAGACAGAAACUGUUUUCAGUUGCUCCCUUAUUCACAAGGGGUCACUGUAGCAGAUAGCUUCACAUGUUUGAUUUGGCAGAUCAUCUAUGCUGGAUGCCCUUUCUGAUGCAGCCCUGUCUCCAUAAUAAUAAUAAAUAAAUAAAUUCAGAGUGGUGUAUAAACAGUAAAAAG
Long non-coding RNA from Astatotilapia calliptera (eastern happy), 2231 nucleotides. The record is from Ensembl. Lineage: Eukaryota; Metazoa; Chordata; Actinopteri; Cichliformes; Cichlidae.